Molecule: unclassified non-coding RNA, 383 nt
Filed under: Hevea brasiliensis (rubber tree)
Lineage: Eukaryota; Viridiplantae; Streptophyta; Magnoliopsida; Malpighiales; Euphorbiaceae
Source: RNAcentral
AUUCUUCAUAUGGGUCUUGAUGAAAGUUGAAGUGCAAGAACAUUUCCUCAUUACGGUAAGUGUAUGGGUGCACCUGUAGAUUAUGGGAAUGUGCUCUGGCAACAAGAUCUGUAGGUGUCUGCAAAUAAUUAUUUACCACAGGAACAACUGUAUCCUUCCAGGGUCCAAUGCCCACCACGUAGUCCUUAAUGUAGUCCAGAUAAGCAUCAGAAGUGAUUUCCCAAUAUGACUGAUUAGUGUCUUGAGUUGGAAUGGUAACAUCAUCAAUCAAGAAGAUUUUGGGUGAGUCUAUCAGAUCUGAUGCNNNNNNNNNNNNNAGCAAAGGAUUGUAUAAAAACAGGUUGUUUCAGCCAAUCUUUUGACAUAUAUGAGCCUGUAUAUCC